UUCCUUACUCAUUUACAGAGAAGGAAUGAAUGAAGGACAAAAAUCAAGGAUUGAAGAUCAUAUGCUCUGCUCACACCUCUGAUUUUCGCUAGGUGGAACCUAUCCGAAGAAAAUUUCGAUGCGUCGCUGGUGGCAAGAACUUAGUCUUCCUCGUUGAAUUCUUAGUUGAAGGAUCUGAAUUUCUGAAUGCAACUGAAGAUGAGAGCUCCUUCACGGUACCUCUUCUUCCGAUUUCCUGUUUUUUUUGCAGCUUCUACGCCUACCUUCCUUACAUCUCCUUCAUAUGCCCUAACCCUCCGCCUCUGUUUACAUUCUACAAAUCCUCAGAAUAUUGAAGAGGCUAUCUCUUCUUUUAAUCACCUGGUUCAUGUGCGCCCCCCCUCUAUAUUCCAAAUCACUAAGAUCUUAGGAUAUGUUGCGAGGUUGAAACAAUAUCCUACAGCUAUCUCCCUUUUUGCACAAGCGGAAUCUAAGGGAUUCACGCCAUCUCUGGUAACGCUGAACAUCUUGAU
This is a long non-coding RNA of Neltuma alba, 512 nucleotides long. RefSeq lists it as uncharacterized. The record is from RefSeq and is a predicted model, not a curated record. NCBI's taxonomy places the organism in Eukaryota, Viridiplantae, Streptophyta, Magnoliopsida, Fabales, Fabaceae. The transcript has 3 exons.